Molecule: ribosomal RNA, 334 nt
Filed under: uncultured eukaryote
Lineage: Eukaryota
Description: partial 18S ribosomal RNA
Rfam family: Eukaryotic small subunit ribosomal RNA
Source: RNAcentral
CCCUUAGAUGUCCGGGGCCGCACGCGCGCUACACUGAAGGAAUCAGCGUGGCUUUCUCCCUGACCCGAAAGGGUUGGGAAACCCGUUGAGUCUCCUUCGUGAUAGGGAUUGGGGCUUGAAAUUGUUCCCCAUGAACGAGGAAUUCCCAGUAAGCGCGAGUCAUAAGCUCGCGUUGAUUACGUCCCUGCCCUUUGUACACACCGCCCGUCGCUACUACCGAUUGAACGGUUUAGUGAGGGCCUCGGAUUGGUCUCGGCCCGCUCUUUACCGGGCGGCGCCGUUGGUCGAGAAGACGCUCGAACUUGAUCGUUUAGAGGAAGUAAAAGUCGUAACA